GACGAACGCUGGCGGCGUGCCUAAUACAUGCAAGUCGAACGAACCGCGACUAAGUGCUUGCACUAAGUCAAGGUGAGUGGCGAACGGGUGAGUAACACGUGGGUAACCUACCUCAUAGUGGGGGAUAACAGUCGGAAACGACUGCUAAUACCGCAUAGGACAUGGAAUCACAUGAUUCCGUGAGGAAAGGUGGCGCAAGCUAUCGCUAAGAGAUGGACCCGCGGUGCAUUAGCUAGUUGGUAGGGUAAAGGCCUAUCAAGGCGAUGAUGCAUAGCCGACCUGAGAGGGUGAUCGGCCACAUUGGGACUGAGACACGGCCCAAACUCCUACGGGAGGCAGCAGUAGGGAAUCUUCCGCAAUGGACGCAAGUCUGACGGAGCAACGCCGCGUGAGUGAAGAAGGUCUUCGGAUCGUAAAGCUCUGUUGUUAGAGAAGAACAGCGCAUAGAGUAACUGCUAUGCGUGGA
Molecule: ribosomal RNA, 466 nt
Filed under: Abiotrophia defectiva
Lineage: Bacteria; Bacillati; Bacillota; Bacilli; Lactobacillales; Aerococcaceae
Description: bacterial SSU rRNA
Rfam family: Bacterial small subunit ribosomal RNA
Source: RNAcentral